Molecule: ribosomal RNA, 252 nt
Filed under: uncultured bacterium
Lineage: Bacteria
Description: partial 16S ribosomal RNA
Rfam family: Bacterial small subunit ribosomal RNA
Source: RNAcentral
UACGGAGGAUCCAAGCGUUAUCCGGAAUCAUUGGGUUUAAAGGGUCCGUAGGCGGUUUGGUAAGUCAGUGGUGAAAGCCCUCGCUCAACGGUGGAACGACCAUUGAUACUGCCAGACUUGAAUUAUUAGGAAGUAACUAGAAUAUGUAGUGUAGCGGUGAAAUGCUUAGAGAUUACAUGGAAUACCAAUUGCGAAGGCAGGUUACUACUAAUGGAUUGACGCUGAUGGACGAAAGCGUGGGUAGCGAACAGG